CCUACGGGGGGCUGCAGUAGGGAAUCUUCGGCAAUGGACGAAAGUCUGACCGAGCAACGCCGCGUGAGUGAAGAAGGUCUUCGGGUCGUAAAACUCUGUUGGUAGAGAAGAACGUUAGUGAGAGUGGAAAGCUCAUCAAGUGACGGUAACUACCCAGAAAGGGACGCCUAACUACGUGCCAGCAGCCGCGGUAAUCCGUAGGGCCCGAGCGUUGUCCGGAUUUAUUGGGCGUAAAGCGAGCGCAGGUGGUUUUGAAGGACUGGGUGAAAAGGCGGGGGCUAAAUCAAGGUAUGCAGUGGAAACUGGUGAACUUGAGUGCAGGAGAGGAGAGUGGAAUUCCAUGUGUAGCGGUGAAAUGCGUAGAUAUAUGGAGGAACACCGGUGGCGAAAGCGGCUCUCUGGGCUGUAACUGACACUGAGGCUCGAAAGCGUGGGGAGCAAACAGGAUUAGAUACCCCUGUAGUC
This 465-nucleotide ribosomal RNA is filed under the name uncultured Lactococcus sp. Its description in RNAcentral is "bacterial SSU rRNA". It matches the Rfam family "Bacterial small subunit ribosomal RNA", at positions 338 to 795 of the family's 1533-position model. The record is from RNAcentral. Lineage: Bacteria; Bacillati; Bacillota; Bacilli; Lactobacillales; Streptococcaceae.